UCCUACGGGAGGCAGCAGUCGAGAAUCAUUCACAAUGGGGGAAACCCUGAUGGUGCGACGCCGCGUGAGUGAAGAAGUAUUUCGGUAUGUAAAGCUCUAUCAGCAGGGAAGAGAAUGACGGUACCUGAGUAAGAAGCCCCGGCUAACUACGUGCCAGCAGCCGCGGUAAUACGUAGGGGGCAAGCGUUAUCCGGAUUUACUGGGUGUAAAGGGAGCGUAGACGGCGAAGAAAGUCUGAAGUGAAAGCCCGCGGCUCAACCGCGGAACUGCUUUGGAAACUUUUUUGCUGGAGUACCGGAGAGGGA
RNAcentral lists this ribosomal RNA (305 nucleotides) under uncultured bacterium. RNAcentral's name for it is "bacterial SSU rRNA". It matches the Rfam family "Bacterial small subunit ribosomal RNA", at positions 337 to 659 of the family's 1533-position model. The record is from RNAcentral.